UACAGAGGUCCCAAGCGUUGUUCGGAUUCACUGGGCGUAAAGGGUGCGUAGGCGGCCGGGUAAGUCUGAUGUGAAAUCUCACAGCUUAACUGUGAAACUGCAUUGGAUACUAUCCGGCUCGAGGAAUGGAGGGGAGACUGGAAUACUUGGUGUAGCAGUGAAAUGCGUAGAUAUCAAGUGGAACACCAGUGGCGAAGGCGAGUCUCUGGACAUUUCCUGACGCUGAGGCACGAAAGCCAGGGGAGCAAACGGG
Molecule: ribosomal RNA, 253 nt
Filed under: uncultured bacterium
Lineage: Bacteria
Description: partial 16S ribosomal RNA
Rfam family: Bacterial small subunit ribosomal RNA
Source: RNAcentral